ACGAACGCUGGCGGCGUGCUUAACACAUGCAAGUCGAACGGAAAGGCCCCUUUGGGGGUCCUCGAGUGGCGAACGGGUGAGUAACACGUGAGUAACCUGCCCUUGACUUCGGGAUAACUUCAGGAAACUGGGGCUAAUACCGGAUAGGAAUCCUUGCUGCAUGGUGGGGGUUGGAAAGCUUCGGCGGUUUUGGAUGGACUCGCGGCUUAUCAGCUUGUUGGUGGGGUAGUGGCUUACCAAGGCUUUGACGGGUAGCCGGCCUGAGAGGGCGACCGGCCACAUUGGGACUGAGAUACGGCCCAGACUCCUACGGGAGGCAGCAGUGGGGAAUAUUGCACAAUGGGCGGAAGCCUGAUGCAGCAACGCCGCGGGCGGGAGGACGGCCUUCGGGUUGUAAACCGCUUUCAGCAGGGGCGAAGCUUGUGGUGACGGUACCUGCAGAAGAAGCACCGGCUAACUACGUG
RNAcentral lists this ribosomal RNA (464 nucleotides) under uncultured bacterium. Its description in RNAcentral is "partial 16S ribosomal RNA". It matches the Rfam family "Bacterial small subunit ribosomal RNA", at positions 29 to 507 of the family's 1533-position model. The record is from RNAcentral.